Molecule: ribosomal RNA, 271 nt
Filed under: uncultured bacterium
Lineage: Bacteria
Description: partial 16S ribosomal RNA
Rfam family: Bacterial small subunit ribosomal RNA
Source: RNAcentral
UACGUAGGGUGCAAGCGUUAAUCGGAAUUACUGGGCGUAAAGCGUGCGCAGGCGGUUUUGUAAGACAGGCGUGAAAUCCCCGGGCUCAACCUGGGAAUGGCGCUUGUGACUGCAAAGCUGGAGUGCGGCAGAGGGGGAUGGAAUUCCGCGUGUAGCAGUGAAAUGCGUAGAUAUCAGGAGGAAUACCGAUGGCGAAGGCAGGUCUCUGGGCUGACACUGACGCUCAUGCACGAAAGCGUGGGGAGCAAACAGGAUUAGAAACCCCAGUAGU